This 252-nucleotide ribosomal RNA is filed under the name uncultured bacterium. RNAcentral describes it as "partial 16S ribosomal RNA". It matches the Rfam family "Bacterial small subunit ribosomal RNA", at positions 524 to 776 of the family's 1533-position model. The record is from RNAcentral.
UACAGAGGUCCCAAGCGUUGUUCGGAUUCACUGGGCGUAAAGGGUGCGUAGGUGGUAAGGCAAGUCAGGUGUGAAAUCUCCGGGCUCAACCCGGAAAUGGCAUUCGAAACUACCUUGCUAGAGGGUUUGAGGGGGGACUGAAUACUUGGUGUAGCAGUGAAAUGCGUAGAUAUCAAGUGGAACACCAGUGGCGAAGGCGAGUCCCUGGAAAACUCCUGACACUGAGGCACGAAAGCUAGGGGAGCAAACAGG